This 512-nucleotide ribosomal RNA is filed under the name uncultured bacterium. RNAcentral describes it as "partial 16S ribosomal RNA". It matches the Rfam family "Bacterial small subunit ribosomal RNA", at positions 28 to 523 of the family's 1533-position model. The record is from RNAcentral.
GACGAACGCUGGCGGCGUGCCUAAUACAUGCAAGUCGAGCGGACCAAUAGAAGCUUGCUUCUAUUGGUUAGCGGCGGACGGGUGAGUAACACGUGGGCAACCUGCCUGUAAGACUGGGAUAACUUCGGGAAACCGGAGCUAAUACCGGAUAAUUCAUCCCCUCGCAUGAGGGGGUGCUGAAAGUCGGUUCACGCUGACACUUACAGAUGGGCCUGCGGCGCAUUAGCUAGUUGGUGAGGUAAUGGCUCACCAAGGCGACGAUGCGUAGCCGACCGGAGAGGGUGAUCGGCCACACUGGGACUGAGACACGGCCCAGACUCCUACGGGAGGCAGCAGUAGGGAAUCUUCCACAAUGGACGAAAGUCUGAUGGCGCAACGCCGCGUGAGCGAUGAAGGCCUUCGGGUCGUAAAGCUCUGUUGUUAGGGAAGAACAAGUACCGGAGUAACUGCCGGUACCUUGACGGUACCUAACCAGAAAGCCACGGCUAACUACGUGCCAGCAGCCGCUGUAA